UUAGUAACCCAGGGAACGAAAUUUUUACGAAGACUUACAGAAACGUCGCGAAGCAACUCGCACUUCAACCACACACACCCUCUCCGUCACCGCAUCGUUGCUAGAAAAAUGGGAUCCGCUUCGAUUCUGCUUCGAUUUGAAUUCAAGAAUGGCUUCCUAUUCUGUCUGACUGAGACGAGGAUGAAGAACUUCGUGUUCGCCAUUGUGGAUUGAGAUGAAGAGAGCGGAAUAAUUGUUGGUCUAUGAAGGUGUUGUUGCGUUGCCGACGAAGAGAAUGAAUCAACGAAGAAUCCAGAGUAAUUUCCGCGAGAUCUCGAACGAAUCUGUAUCCGAUCCGAAGUCCGGCCAAAUCGUAAGCUCCGAUGAUCCUUCUUCUUCUUCUUCUUCUCGUUCUUAGUUUGUUUCUCUGAAUUCUGUGAAACUCUUUUGGCUAUGGAGUUGUGGUUUUUGGUUUUUGCUACCUCUUCAAUCUCUCUUUCUGUUUCAUUCUAUGAAGGUUGUGUGUAGUUAAAAUGGUGAGUGAAGAUUGGUGAGGUUUGAAUGGUUCAAAGUUGACGGAAGGUUUGGUGAUUUGUGAAGUGGAGAUUUUGAGGAGGGUUGUUGAAUGAUGGUGAAGAUGAUGGAGUGAAGUUGGGGGUUCUGUUAAGGGUGGUCUUAUUGAAGGUUGGGGCGUCAAGAAGCUGUUGUGGGCGUGAGGCUCCGUUAGCCGGUUUUCAGAAGAAAAAAUAGUUAUUUUAACUUUCCGUUCCAUCCCCUUUUUUUCUAUUGGAGUUUGUUAUGAGAAGUAAAUCAGCUCGGUUUUGGGAGGUUUUCUUUGUAGGGUAUUCAAGGAUUGGUUUUGUCAUGUGGAGAGCGAUUGGAGGUCCUUUUUCUUUCAAUGUCAGUUGGAAAUCCUGAGUUAGAGUGUGGAUUUGGUUAGUGUCGUGAGGUUGUAACGGUCGGGAUUCAGUUAUCCUUUCUGUCGGAGGUUAGAAUUUGUUUUUUGAAGACACUCUGCUAGUUAUCAAUGUCAGUUACAAUGUGAUUGCAAUUUUACUGGACAUUCUGUUAGGGAGGUUAGAAAUCCGUACAGGUCAUUGAAGGGUUAUUUUGAAUCGGUUAGAGAAGGGUUAGUUUGUUAGUUGUGUAGAAGUUUGUUGGAAGGUUUAUUGAAUUGGUUGAAAUUGUGUACAUUGGUUUUUCUCUGCUGCAGGUCUUUGAAUGCUAUAAAUUAGAAGGAACUUGGAAUUCUGCCGGUUUUUCUCAAAGUUGGUUCUCAGUUUGGAAGUCAAGAGAUUUUGUUCAAUCUUUUGUGUGAGCAGAUAACUUUUUGGAGUUUAUUUCUCUAUUUCAAUUGUGAUGCAGGGUCAUUGGUUUUAUGUUUUUUCUAUUAUGCUCCCAUUGAGAGGUUUUAUGUUUUUUCUAUUAUGCUCCCAUUGAGAGCUUUUUCUUCCAAUAGUGUAGAAGUAUCUAUUUAAAUCGUUCACUGACACAACACGAGGUGAAUCUAUAUCUAUAUAGGAGUAGCUUGCAACUGGUUGAAUAUGAAGUCAUGACUCACAUAUAGUAAUAAGUAGUAGUAUCUAAAAGCAGUACACGCUGACACGUGAAAGCAGAUGUUGAAUAUGAAGUCAUGACUCAUAUAUAUCCAAAAAGCAGUAGAGACACGUGAAAGCAUUACACUGCACUUUAGUUCACUGACACUGACACUAAAACAGUAAGGCAAGAAAACACUAUUUAUAGGACACUACUUAGGGUUAAAGAGUAUUGAAACAGUAAGACUAUUUAAAGGACACCACUGGCACUUAGUGUUAAAAGAGAAACAGUAAGGCAAGAAAACACUAUUUAUAGGACACUACUUAGUGUUAAAGAGUAUUGAAACAGUAAGACUAUUUAAAGGACACCACUGGCACUUAGUGUUAAAAGAGAGUAAAAUACUUCCACUUAUUAAGCCAGUAUGACAUUGAACCAUAUCACAGGAUCCCACAUCACAUCUCUUUUCCCUUCUUCUCUGUAAGAUUAUCAGCAUUGUCCAAAGGGAAAUCGGUUUUCAUUAACUCCCAUUGAAUCACACCCUCUUUCACUUUUGAAAAUGAUGAUGAUCCUUGACCUCUAAGAAAAUUACUUGCCAUUACAUCCAGCUUCUUUGAUAUACCUCUCAAUUCUUCAUAAUCAUCAUCUCUUUCCAGCAUUUUUCUUUUCAGUUUUAGUUGGAACU
Molecule: long non-coding RNA, 2197 nt
Filed under: Lathyrus oleraceus (garden pea)
Lineage: Eukaryota; Viridiplantae; Streptophyta; Magnoliopsida; Fabales; Fabaceae
Description: Pisum sativum (pea) long non-coding RNA (PSAT_LNC011049)
Source: RNAcentral